UUAAUCAAAUUCAAAAAAACCUCAAAGAAAUUUCAAACAAACAAUAAGAAUUCUUAAAAAAAUAUUAAAAGAAUCACAAAUAUCACUCAAAUACAUCUCAAUUCAAUCUUAAUUUAAUUCUAGUUAAAAUCCUAUUGAACUUCAUUCAAACUUUAGGCCAAAACUAAUUGAAUCUUAAAUCUUAAUAAAAUCCUAAAUCCUGAAUCAAAUCCUAAACAAACCUUAAACCAAAUCCCAACCAAAUCCUAAAGCAAAUCCUAACCAAAAUCUAAACCAAACCCUAAAUCCUAAAUCAAAUCCUAAUCAAAUCCUAAUCCAAAUCCUAAAUCCUAAAUCAAACCCUAAUCCAAACUUUAAAUCCUAAAUCAAACCCUAAAUAAAUCCUAAUCCAAAUCUUAAACCCUAAAUCAAACCCUAAUCAAAUCCUAAAUCCUAAACCAAAUCCUAACUAAAUCCUAAAUCCUAAAUCAAAUCCUAACCAAAUCCUAAUCCAAACCCUAAAUCCUAAGCCAAAUCUUAAC
Molecule: long non-coding RNA, 521 nt
Filed under: Physcomitrium patens
Lineage: Eukaryota; Viridiplantae; Streptophyta; Bryopsida; Funariales; Funariaceae
Description: long non-coding RNA (PPAT_LNC011679)
Source: RNAcentral